ACGUCACGGCCAGUUGCUCUCAGCUCGAUUGUCGCAAUCUUGUAUUCUACCAUUCUUGACCAUUCGCGAAUGUCAAGUGCUGGUAAGCAAAGUGCUACGUUCGGUCGGUCGUCUAACAGACGAACUUGAAGACGAGAUGCAAAUAGAGAUCGCUGCAACGUUGCCCUUGGCAAUUGACGCAGCUAAAGAUAUCGAAGAAAAGCUGGAAAAACAGGAAUACUUCGAAUCAAUGAAAAUCUACUUGUUCCAAAUGAAAGGAAGCAACGGAACGGUGGAUGACGUUUUCCGAAGGGUCAUGACCGAGGAACUAGCCUUUUUAUUCAAUUUUGAUGGAAGGAGAAGAACGCGUUAACAAAAUUGAAACUAAUUAACCAAGUUUUAAGCGAGGUUUUCGCAACUGAAGGUUGAAAAGGCGUCAAGGAAAAGCAUUGAGUUGAGUCACAAUCGCUUUCACCAAAAGACAUUUUUAAUAAAAAAUAAAAAUGUUGCAUAAAUGUGUAGAAAAAAAUGUAAAUAUUAGUGUAAGAAAAUUAACCUGCAUACACCAGUUUGGGCAAUUUUGUUUGUUUGUUUAAAGUUAUAUAUAUAUAUAUAUACAUGUAUG
Long non-coding RNA from Rhagoletis pomonella (apple maggot), 604 nucleotides. RefSeq lists it as uncharacterized. Lineage: Eukaryota; Metazoa; Arthropoda; Insecta; Diptera; Tephritidae. The transcript is spliced from 3 exons. The record is from RefSeq and is a predicted model, not a curated record.